This 492-nucleotide ribosomal RNA is filed under the name uncultured bacterium. RNAcentral's name for it is "partial 16S ribosomal RNA". It matches the Rfam family "Bacterial small subunit ribosomal RNA", at positions 29 to 507 of the family's 1533-position model. The record is from RNAcentral.
AGUGAACGCUGGCGGUAGGCCUAACACAUGCAAGUCGAACGGCAGCACAGUAAGAGCUUGCUCUUACGGGUGGCGAGUGGCGGACGGGUGAGGAAUACAUCGGAAUCUACUUUUUCGUGGGGGAUAACGUAGGGAAACUUACGCUAAUACCGCAUACGACCUACGGGUGAAAGCAGGGGAUCUUCUGACCUUGCGCGAUUGAAUGAGCCGAUGUCGGAUUAGCUAGUUGGCGGGGUAAAGGCCCACCAAGGCGACGAUCCGUAGCUGGUCUGAGAGGAUGAUAGGCCACACUGGAACUGAGACACGGUCCAGACUCCUACGGGAGGCAGCAGUGGGGAAUAUUGGACAAUGGGCGCAAGCCUGAUCCAGCCAUACCGCGUGGGUGAAGAAGGCCUUCGGGUUGUAAAGCCCUUUUGUUGGGAAAGAAAAGCAGCAGGUUAAUACCCCGCUGUUCUGACGGUACCCAAAGAAUAAGCACCGGCUAACUUCGUG